GUGGUAAUAGCUCAGUGAUAGAGCACAUGCUUAGCAUGCAUGAGGUCCUGGUUUCAACCUCCAGUACCUCU
This 71-nucleotide transfer RNA is filed under the name Camelus bactrianus (Bactrian camel). It matches the Rfam family "tRNA". Rfam says of the family: Transfer RNA (tRNA) molecules are approximately 80 nucleotides in length. Their secondary structure includes four short double-helical elements and three loops (D, anti-codon, and T loops). RNAcentral also lists the same sequence under 2 other names. Lineage: Eukaryota; Metazoa; Chordata; Mammalia; Artiodactyla; Camelidae. The record is from Rfam by way of RNAcentral.